Molecule: RNase P RNA, 451 nt
Filed under: Verrucomicrobiia bacterium
Lineage: Bacteria; Pseudomonadati; Verrucomicrobiota; Verrucomicrobiia
Description: RNase P RNA component class A
Rfam family: Bacterial RNase P class A
About the family: Ribonuclease P (RNase P) is a ubiquitous endoribonuclease, found in archaea, bacteria and eukarya as well as chloroplasts and mitochondria. Its best characterised activity is the generation of mature 5'-ends of tRNAs by cleaving the 5'-leader elements of precursor-tRNAs.
Source: RNAcentral
AAGCUGGUCGGAGAUGAUCGCUGGUGUGGUUCCGUUUCGGCGGGAUCGGCAUUAGAGGAAAGUCCGGACUCCUUAAGGCAAUGUGCCUCGUGAAAACGGGGGCGGCGGAGGGCGUAAGCCACCGUUGACGGAUAGUGUCGCAGAAAACAAACCGCCCUCCCGCGAAAGUGGGAAAGGUAAGGGUGAAAAGGCGAGGUAAGAGCUCACCGCCCCGAGGGUAACCGAGGGGGCAGGAUAAACCCCACGUGGUGCAAGACAGAACAGAGCAAAGUCCGGGCCGCCUGUCCGGUUCCCGAACGCGCAAGCGGGAAGGAAUAAGCUUGGGUAUUAGUCGCACCCUGAAACGCGCAAGCGGGACGGGGAGUUUCGGCUUCGGCCGGGGCUAGAAAAAUGAUCGUCCAUCUCGUUUCGGCGGGAUGAACAAAAUCCGGCUUACGGGACCAGCUUUCGC